Molecule: long non-coding RNA, 944 nt
Organism: Osmia bicornis bicornis
Lineage: Eukaryota; Metazoa; Arthropoda; Insecta; Hymenoptera; Megachilidae
Exons: 2
Source: RefSeq, a predicted model, not a curated record
GGCCGUGCAUCGAGGGAUAGCGUGACUUCGAAGAAACUGACACAGAUUUCUAGGAAAUACCGACUAACUAACAUCCGUCGUUUUCCCGGAUGCGACUAAACCGGGCAAGUUUGACGCACAAUCGGUGUAUCGAGAGUCGGUUGGACGACAGCCUGGGUUUAGAAAUAUUUGACAGUGGUUUGGUAGCAUGCAAAGAGAGCGUGAACGUGGGAUCGGCAUACGCGUCUGUACUUAUAAGUAAGUCACCGCGUCUACCUUGUUAUUUUCGGCGUAAAACCGACGCAGGUCGGUGGCAAAGAGAGGCGCCUAGGGAUCGCGACGCGUCGUCUCGACACCCACCUCGGUUAACGAUCGCUCUUGGUUGCAAGAGUGUUACGCGAUCGAAUGGGAUCCUUCUAACGAGUUUUUCACAGUUAAAUUGAAAGAAAAGAAAAAGUGACGCUUACUCGCGAUCAAGCGUGUCUGGCUUUUUUCAUAAUUUUCAUUCGUACGGGGUACAAAUGAAAAUUUACUGAAUGAGAGCUGCACCAAGGCUCCCCUACGACCCACCUUUCCGCCGUAUCUACGCCGUACUCAAAUGACACUGAAAGCACGGAUGCAGAGAGCUCCGACCGACCGAAAUCAAUACCAUGUUGGCCUACUACGCCGUGGCCUUCUUUUCAGCUAAAUCCAUUUGCCGCGGAACACGAUAAUAACCAAUAUGCAUGUCCCCUCGUACAUCCGUCAAGCAUAUCUUGUUAAAGAAAUUCUCGCGAAACCACGUGUCUCUGAUAUUAACUUAUGUAAUUAUCAGCCUUUUCAACACGCGGAUACGUCAUCCGUGAAAUCUUAUGUCUAGCCGUUAAAUUCGUCGAGUGGAUUCUUUGUUCGUCGCUUUUAACGUUUGCGCGUUAAUCGACAAAUUUGUACGAUGAGAAAAUAAUUAUUGAUGGAUAAAAAAAGAA